GGAGUUGUGGCUCAGUGGUAGAGCACUUGCCUAGCAUGUGUGAGGGCACUGGGUUCAAUCCUCAGCACCA
This is a non-coding RNA of Ictidomys tridecemlineatus (thirteen-lined ground squirrel), 70 nucleotides long. The record is from Rfam. Lineage: Eukaryota; Metazoa; Chordata; Mammalia; Rodentia; Sciuridae.